RNAcentral lists this transfer RNA (71 nucleotides) under Omobranchus elegans (elegant blenny). RNAcentral describes it as "tRNA-Thr". It matches the Rfam family "tRNA". Rfam says of the family: Transfer RNA (tRNA) molecules are approximately 80 nucleotides in length. Their secondary structure includes four short double-helical elements and three loops (D, anti-codon, and T loops). Further hydrogen bonds mediate the characteristic L-shaped molecular structure. tRNAs have two regions of fundamental functional importance: the anti-codon, which is responsible for specific mRNA codon recognition, and the 3' end, to which the tRNAs corresponding amino acid is attached (by aminoacyl-tRNA synthetases). tRNAs cope with the degeneracy of the genetic code in two manners: having more than one tRNA (with a specific anti-codon) for a particular amino acid; and 'wobble' base-pairing, i.e. permitting non-standard base-pairing at the 3rd anti-codon position. Lineage: Eukaryota; Metazoa; Chordata; Actinopteri; Blenniiformes; Blenniidae. The record is from RNAcentral.
GCAUUAGUAGCUCAGGGUUAAAGCGCCGGUCUUGUAAGCCGGAUACGAAGGUUAAAGUCCUUCCUUUUGCU